RNAcentral lists this ribosomal RNA (254 nucleotides) under uncultured bacterium. RNAcentral describes it as "partial 16S ribosomal RNA". It matches the Rfam family "Bacterial small subunit ribosomal RNA", at positions 524 to 776 of the family's 1533-position model. The record is from RNAcentral.
GACGAACCGUGCGAACGUUAUUCGGAAUCACUGGGCUUAAAGCGCGUGUAGGCGGGGUGGCACGUCCGUCGCUGAAAUCCCCCGGCUCAACCGGGGAACGGGCGCGGAUACGACCAUCCUCGAGGGACGUAGGGGGACCUGGAACUUCCGGUGGAGCAGUGAAAUGCAUUGAGAUCGGAAAGAACACCAACGGCGACAGCACUCUGCUGGGCCGACACUGACACUGAGAGACGAAAGCUAGGGGAGCAAAUGGG